Molecule: ribosomal RNA, 335 nt
Filed under: uncultured Pseudomonas sp.
Lineage: Bacteria; Pseudomonadati; Pseudomonadota; Gammaproteobacteria; Pseudomonadales; Pseudomonadaceae
Description: bacterial SSU rRNA
Rfam family: Bacterial small subunit ribosomal RNA
Source: RNAcentral
ACUGGAGUUUGAUCCUGGCUCAGAUUGAACGCUGGCGGCAGGCCUAACACAUGCAAGUCGAGCGGUAGAGAGAAGCUUGCUUCUCUUGAGAGCGGCGGACGGGUGAGUAAUACCUAGGAAUCUGCCUGAUAGUGGGGGAUAACGUUCGGAAACGGACGCUAAUACCGCAUACGUCCUACGGGAGAAAGCAGGGGACCUUCGGGCCUUGCGCUAUCAGAUGAGCCUAGGUCGGAUUAGCUAGUUGGUGAGGUAAUGGCUCACCAAGGCUACGAUCCGUAACUGGUCUGAGAGGAUGAUCAGUCACACUGGAACUGAGACACGGUCCAGACUCCUAC